RNAcentral lists this ribosomal RNA (508 nucleotides) under uncultured bacterium. RNAcentral describes it as "partial 16S ribosomal RNA". It matches the Rfam family "Bacterial small subunit ribosomal RNA", at positions 28 to 507 of the family's 1533-position model. The record is from RNAcentral.
GACGAACGCUGGCGGCGUGCUUAACACAUGCAAGUCGAACGGGCCAUGUCCCCUUUUUUUUUUGGGGUGGGGUUAGUGGCGAACGGGUGAGUAACACGUGAGUAACCUGCCCCUCACUUCUGGAUAACCGCUUGAAAGGGUGGCUAAUACGGGGUGUUCUGGCCUGCUCGCAUGGGUGGGUUUGGAAAGAUUCGACCGGUUUUGGUUGUUUUGGUGGGGGAUGGGCUCGCGGCCUAUCAGCUUGUUGGUGGGGUGAUGGCCUGCCAAGGCUUUGACGGGUAGCCGGCCUGAGAGGGUGGGCGGUCACACUGGGACUGAGACACGGCCCAGACUCCUACGGGAGGCAGCAGUGGGGAAUAUUGCACAAUGGGCGCAAGCCUGAUGCAGCGACGCCGCGUGAGGGAUGGAGGCCUUCGGGUUGUGAACCUCUUUCGCCAGUGAAGAAGGUCCUGCUCUUUGUGGUGGGGUUGACGGUAGCUGGGUUAAUGAAGCGCCGGCUAACUACGUG